Molecule: ribosomal RNA, 460 nt
Filed under: uncultured bacterium
Lineage: Bacteria
Description: partial 16S ribosomal RNA
Rfam family: Bacterial small subunit ribosomal RNA
Source: RNAcentral
CCUACGGGAGGCAGCAGUGAGGAAUAUUGGUCAAUGGGCGAGAGCCUGAACCAGCCAAGUCGCGUGAAGGAUGAAGGAUCUAUGGUUUGUAAACUUCUUUUAUAUGGGAAUAAAGUGAGGAACGUGUUCCUUUUUGUAUGUACCAUAUGAAUAAGCAUCGGCUAACUCCGUGCCAGCAGCCGCGGUAAUACGGGGGGUGCAAGCGUUGUCCGGAAUCAUUGGGCGUAAAGAGUUCGUAGGUGGCACGUUAAGUCUGGUGUUAAAGGCGGAAGCUCAACUUCCGUAGGGCACUGGAUACUGGCGAGCUUGAAUGCGGUAGAGGUAAAGGGAAUUCCUGGUGUAGCGGUGAAAUGCGUAGAUAUCAGGAGGAACAUCGGUGGCGUAGGCGCUUUACUGGGCCGUAAUUGACACUGAGGAACGAAAGCCGGGGUAGCAAAUGGGAUUAGAUACCCCAGUAGUC